GGUCGUAUAGCGCAAUGGUAGCGCAUUUGUUUUUGUAACGGGAAAAUUUGGGUUUAACUCCCGGUGCAACCU
This is a transfer RNA of Gaeumannomyces graminis, 72 nucleotides long. It matches the Rfam family "tRNA". Rfam says of the family: Transfer RNA (tRNA) molecules are approximately 80 nucleotides in length. Their secondary structure includes four short double-helical elements and three loops (D, anti-codon, and T loops). Further hydrogen bonds mediate the characteristic L-shaped molecular structure. tRNAs have two regions of fundamental functional importance: the anti-codon, which is responsible for specific mRNA codon recognition, and the 3' end, to which the tRNAs corresponding amino acid is attached (by aminoacyl-tRNA synthetases). tRNAs cope with the degeneracy of the genetic code in two manners: having more than one tRNA (with a specific anti-codon) for a particular amino acid; and 'wobble' base-pairing, i.e. permitting non-standard base-pairing at the 3rd anti-codon position. Lineage: Eukaryota; Fungi; Ascomycota; Sordariomycetes; Magnaporthales; Magnaporthaceae. The record is from Rfam.